This 1613-nucleotide long non-coding RNA is filed under the name Schizosaccharomyces pombe (fission yeast). Its description in RNAcentral is "lncRNA, antisense cyp7, readthrough snd301". Lineage: Eukaryota; Fungi; Ascomycota; Schizosaccharomycetes; Schizosaccharomycetales; Schizosaccharomycetaceae. The record is from RNAcentral.
UAGGUUUUUUUUUCUUUGUAAAACAUUAAAUUAUAUCGCGUUUCAUUAAAAGCUUCUUAGGCCUAGCACUUGGAACAUCUUUAAGCUCUUCUGCUCGUUGUAUUCGAAGUUCUUCCGUUCUUCUUGUUGGAUCAUUUUCAGCCACCAAUCGAUGCGCAAACCAGUUGCUGUUCGUUUCUGUUAUAUUUUUUUCGCCAAGCCUAUCAAAACAUGAAAAGCAACCAGGAACAUUGUGUAAGCUGCAAGGUGUGUCUUCUAUUUUGCUACCAUAUUGACUAUCCAUGACAUCUUCAUCUUCUGCAUUUCGAAUCUUGCUUUGAAAUGAUGAAAGUGCUCGAAGGGUCGACUCUUCGUCAUUCUCCAAGUUUUUUCGCUUCCCUAAGACAACUUUUUUGGAUUUUUUAUACUUUUCAAGUUCCUCAGUCAAGAUGUUCCGUUUUUUAGGACGUACAACCACGGGUUUCGAGUUUGAAGAGCCACCACUUUUUUCUAAGUCACGAAGUUCAGACUUCAAACGGGAAAUUUCUUCUUGUACCUUGGACUUAGAGGAAGAAUUUAACUUUGUAUCUAAAGUGUCUACUUGCCUAGCAUAUUCAUCGGAAGAGACUUUAGCAGAGGUCAAUCCAGUUUGGGCAGACGAGUAAGUACUGUGAAUUGAGGAUGAAGAUGAAAUCAAAUCUUUACUUAACUCAGUCGUAGUAUCAGAUGAUCUGGAUACUGGCGUUUUCUGCCUGAGCGGCUUUUUUACAAUAGGCAUAUCGACUUCAUCGCCAAAACUGAGAACUGCUUUAUUUCGUCGUCCGGAUUUCAAUAAUUUGUUUCUUUCUUUCUGUUUUUCCUGGUGGGCUAGCUCAUUGGCAAUUUUCUCUCUUUCUUCUUUAGUUGAACGAGGUUUUAUGUCAGUAAAAUAAUUGUCAAUUACCUCUGUUGAAAUUAUUUUUGGGGGAAAAACAGGUCGUUGGUUGGCAUCUAACUCUAACUCAGAUAUCCUUACUACAUUGUAAAUGGUAUCCCCUACAACACGUCCAAAUAGAGUUUGCUUGCCAUUCCAUUCAGGUGUUGGACCUAAGGUGAUAAAAAAUUGAGAGUUGUUUCCCUCAUUUUCAGUACAUGCCAUUCCCACUAAUCCUCUUCUUAUAAACCGUAACCUAGGAUGUGUUUCUACAGCAAAAGGUUCACCAUAUAUAGAUUCACCACCCAUUCCAGUGCCAGUAGGAUCUCCACCCUGUAUCAAAAACUCUGGUACAACUCUAUGAACAAUGGUUCCAUCGUAAUAACUGUAUUUAAUUAGUAUAUUUGUAAACCCGAAGCAGUUUAAUGUUGCAACAUUUGGGACUACAACGUUGCUCAUCAACGAUUUAACUUACCCUUCCAAGCAUAACUGUAUAAAGUUUCUACAGGCCUUCGGCACUUCUUUGCACCAAAGUUCUAUCUGGAUAUCGCCGCGAGUAGUUUUAAGGAUGACAGUCCCCCUAUAAUGUUAGUAAAAGUAACUGGAAAUCUGAAAAACAUACGUUGCCAAAGGCUCCAAGUUGGUCAAAGUCUGAGAGAUUAGUCGAAGGGAGCAAGAAAAAUAUACUUACGGCCAUUCCAUAAAGUACAUCAAAUAUUAA